CCUACGGGAGGCAGCAGUGGGGAAUAUUGGGCAAUGGAGGAAACUCUGACCCAGCAACGCCGCGUGAAUGAUGAAGGUCUUCGGAUUGUAAAGUUCUUUUCUAAGGGAAGAAGAAAGUGACGGUACCUUAGGAAUAAGCCUCGGCUAACUACGUGCCAGCAGCCGCGGUAAUACGUAGGAGGCAAGCGUUAUCCGGAAUGACUGGGCGUAAAGGGUGCGUAGGUGGUUCAGCAAGUUAGUAGCGUAAUUCCGGAGCUCAACUUCGGCACUACUACUAAAACUGUUGGACUUGAGUGCAGGAGGGGCAACUGGAAUUUCUAGUGUAGCGGUGGAAUGCGUAGAUAUUAGGAAGAACACCGGUGGCGAAGGCGAGUUGCUGGACGAUGACUGACGUUGAGGCUCGAAAGCGUGGGGAGCAAACAGGAUUAGAUACCCCGGUAGUC
This 443-nucleotide ribosomal RNA is filed under the name uncultured bacterium. RNAcentral's name for it is "partial 16S ribosomal RNA". It matches the Rfam family "Bacterial small subunit ribosomal RNA", at positions 338 to 795 of the family's 1533-position model. The record is from RNAcentral.